UGGGGAAUUGUUCACAAUGGGCGCAAGCCUGAUGACGCAACGCCGCGUGGGGGAUGAAGGUCUUCGGAUCGUAAACCCCUGUCGAAUGGGACGAAAGACUCGCGAGUGAAUACUUCGCGAGAGUGACGGUACCGUUAAAGGAAGCCACGGCUAACUCUGUGCCAGCAGCCGCGGUAAUACAGAGGUGGCAAGCGUUGUUCGGAAUUACUGGGCGUAAAGGGCGCGUAGGCGGCCCUCUAAGUCAGACGUGAAAUCCCCCGGCUUAACCUGGGAACUGCGUCUGAUACUGGAGGGCUUGAGUAUGGGAGAGGGAUGUAGAAUUCCAGGUGUAGCGGUGAAAUGCGUAGAUAUCUGGAGGAAUACCGGUGGCGAAGGCGGCAUCCUGGACCAUUACUGACGCUGAGGCGCGAAAGCUAGGGGAGCAAA
This 426-nucleotide ribosomal RNA is filed under the name uncultured bacterium. RNAcentral describes it as "bacterial SSU rRNA". It matches the Rfam family "Bacterial small subunit ribosomal RNA", at positions 355 to 772 of the family's 1533-position model. The record is from RNAcentral.